This 350-nucleotide ribosomal RNA is filed under the name uncultured bacterium. RNAcentral describes it as "bacterial SSU rRNA". It matches the Rfam family "Bacterial small subunit ribosomal RNA", at positions 28 to 376 of the family's 1533-position model. The record is from RNAcentral.
GACGAACGCUGGCGGCGUGCUUAACACAUGCAAGUCGAGCGGUAAGGCCCUUUCGGGGGUACACGGAGCGGCGAACGGGUGAGUAACACGUGGGUGACCUGCCCUCAGCUCUGGGAUAAGCCUGGGAAACCCGGGUCUAAAUACUGGAUAUGACUCCAUGACGCAUGUUGUGGGGUGGAAAGCCUUGUGCGGCUGAGGAUGGGCCCGCGGCCUAUCAGCUUGUUGGUGGGGUGANGGCCUACCAAGGCGACGACGGGUAGCCGGCCUGAGAGGGCGACCGGCCACACUGGGACUGAGACACGGCCCAGACUCCUACGGGAGGCAGCAGUGGGGAAUCUUGCGCAAUGGGC